GACGAACGCUGGCGGCGUGCCUAAUACAUGCAAGUUGAGCGCUGAAGGUUGGUACUUGUACCAACUGGAUGAGCAGCGCACGGGUGAGUAACGCGUGGGGAAUCUGCCUUUGAGCGGGGGACAACAUUUGGAAACGAAUGCUAAUACCGCAUAAAAACUUUAAACACAAGUUUUAAGUUUGAAAGAUGCAAUUGCAUCACUCAAAGAUGAUCCCGCGUUGUAUUAGCUAGUUGGUGAGGUAAAGGCUCACCAAGGCGAUGAUACAUAGCCGACCUGAGAGGGUGAUCGGCCACAUUGGGACUGAGACACGGCCCAAACUCCUACGGGAGGCAGCAGUAGGGAAUCUUCGGCAAUGGACGAAAGUCUGACCGAGCAACGCCGCGUGAGUGAAGAAGGUUGUCGGAUCGUAAAACUCGGUUGGUAGAGAAGAACGUUGGUGAGAGUGGAAAGCUCAUCAAGUGACGGUAACUACCCAGAAAGGGACGGCUAACUACGUG
This 497-nucleotide ribosomal RNA is filed under the name uncultured bacterium. RNAcentral's name for it is "partial 16S ribosomal RNA". It matches the Rfam family "Bacterial small subunit ribosomal RNA", at positions 28 to 507 of the family's 1533-position model. The record is from RNAcentral.